Molecule: ribosomal RNA, 405 nt
Filed under: uncultured prokaryote
Description: bacterial SSU rRNA
Rfam family: Bacterial small subunit ribosomal RNA
Source: RNAcentral
UGGGGAAUAUUGGGCAAUGGGCGCAAGCCUGACCCAGCAACGCCGCGUGAGGGAAGAAGGUCUUCGGAUUGUAAACCUCUGUCCUUGGGGACGAAAAAAAUGACGGUACCCAAGGAGGAAGCUCCGGCUAACUACGUGCCAGCAGCCGCGGUAAUACGUAGGGAGCGAGCGUUGUCCGGAAUUACUGGGCGUAAAGGGUGCGUAGGCGGUUUGGCAAGUCAGAUGUGAAAUCCCCGGGCUUAACUCGGGUGGUGCAUUUGAAACUGCUGAACUUGAGUGCAGGAGAGGAAAGCGGAAUUCCUAGUGUAGCGGUGAAAUGCGUAGAUAUUAGGAGGAACACCAGUGGCGAAGGCGGCUUUCUGGACUGUAACUGACGCUGAGGCACGAAAGCGUGGGGAGCAAACA